Molecule: long non-coding RNA, 881 nt
Filed under: Mytilus galloprovincialis (Mediterranean mussel)
Lineage: Eukaryota; Metazoa; Mollusca; Bivalvia; Mytilida; Mytilidae
Source: RNAcentral
GUUUUAUAUGUUUAUGAGAUGUAUGUUACUGGAAUCCUUCUGCAAAUACGUGACCUUCAUAUCACCAGUGGAAAGACCUCAAUAGUUAUCAGAAGGUGUGGUAUGAGUGUCAAUGAGACAACUCUCCAUCCAAGUCACAAUGUUAAAAUAUCUUAAUUUCUACUUAAGAUUCACAGGCACCUGUCCAGAAUUGUUUUUCUUAUGUACCUUAAUAUUAAGGUAUAUAGGAUUUUUUUCUGAGACAGAGUGCCUGUGUUAAGAUUGGCUGUCAAAAGUCUAACAUUCAAAUUUUCAAUAACAGUUAACAGAAAAUACAAUCUCACAAUAACAGAUAACAAUAAAUAUAAUAGUCCUAUAACAGCUAACAAGGAACAAGAAAAUACAGCGAACAGCAAAUAUAUUUUGAGGAUAACAGAUAGCAAAGAAUUAAAUUACCCCAUAACAGCGUAACAGCUAAACCCCUUAUCCCCUCUAUGAUGAGAUAACUACUGGGUCGAUGUCACUGCUGGUGGAGUUUUUAUUCCCUGAGGGUACCACACGCUUAAAAGUCAGCACGUCUUUAUUGACAUUAAUCAUCGUUGCUAUGGUCAUAAUUAUAAAUUAAAUGAUUACACACUUUGAAUUUUUAAAGACUACGGCUUUUCUGCCUCAGGAAUAGAUUAGUUGGCAACACAUUUAGAAAUUGUUGGUCCUCAAUGCUCUUUAACUUUGUGCUUUAUUUGGCUUUUUUAAACAGAUAAUCGAGUAUUUAUCGUAAAGAUGUCGUUAAAUUUCAGCCGCUCGACACAAUGUGAAGGUUUUGACUUCGCUGCGCUCCAUCGCCCAAUAGGUUCACAUUGUAACUCGCUGCUGAUAUUUUAAGACAUAAAUGUGUAGAAAAC